GGGGAGGGGGGGGUGCCCGGGUUUCUCUUCUUUCUCUGCGCCGGCCAUUUUGUUGGUGUGAAGGGAGCGGCGGUGGGGACGGCGCCGGGGACGGGGACGGCCGUGCUUUCGGAGCGGCGGCGCUGGUGUCGGGGCCACUUCAGUGCGAGGCACCCAGCGGGGCCACCGGCCUCGGCGUGACAUCGCCAGCGGCCCGAUAGCGGCAGCCCGAGGAGGAGCUGAGCCCUCUUCCCUCCUCUCCUCCGCCUCCGUGCGGGUACAGCCCGGCCGCCGCCUCGCAGUCUCAUGGAGCAGCCCAUGGCGGCCGCCGGCUCCGAGGAGUUUCCCGAGGGGGCCAAGAUAAACGCCAGCAAAAACGAAGAGGAUGAAGGAAAAAUGUUCAUUGGGGGUCUUAGCUGGGAUACAAGCAAGAAGGAUUUGACAGAUUACUUGUCCAGGUUCGGUGAAGUAGUGGACUGUACUAUAAAAAUGGAUGCGGUGACGGGACGGUCAAGAGGAUUUGGUUUUGUACUAUUCAGAGAACCUGCAAGUGUGGACAGGGUGUUGGAACUGAAGGAACACAAGCUUGAUGGGAGACUUAUUGACCCUAAAAGAGCAAAGGCAAUAAAGGGCAAGGAGCCAGCUAAGAAAGUUUUUGUUGGUGGUCUAAGUCCUGAUGUACCUGAAGAAAUGGUUAAGGACUACUUUGGAGCAUAUGGAGAGAUCGAAGGCAUUGAACUUCCCAUUGACAAUAAGACGAAUGAACGGAGAGGAUUCUGCUUUAUCACAUUCAAGGAAGAAGAACCAGUGAAAAGGCUGCUGGAAAAUAAGUAUCAUAACAUAGGCUCUAGCAAGUGUGAAAUUAAAGUGGCGCAGCCCAAGGAAGUCUACAGGCAACAGCAGCAACGAGGAGGCAGAGGUGGAGGUGGGUUUGGUGGAAGAGGUCGUGGUAGAGGGGGACAAAAUCAGAACUGGAACCAGGGAUACAACAGCUACUGGAAUCAAGGUUAUAGUAGUUACAACAAUGGCUAUAGCAAUCCAGGUUACAAUGGAUAUGGAGGUUAUGAUUACUCUGGGUAUAACUACAACAACUACGGAUAUGCUCCAGAAUAUGAUACCUACAAUACAAAUGUGCCUCCUGAUGGUCAAUCAAGGAACGGCAUUGAUGGUCGUGGAGAAGUCUGCGGCCUGGACUGCCUCACCCUCUCUGCUGAAGGAGGCUGUUUAGAGGCAAGUGGCCAGGUCAGCAGAGCAGCUAUGGGAAGGCAUCUAGAGGUGCAGGCAGUCACCAGAAUAACUACCAACCAUACUAAAGAAAAAUUGAUAUAGUUAUUUCACUGCAGCGGGAACUUCAUUGCAGGACACGUGUCACCCUGACCACACGAUUCUCUUGGGGCCGCGCAUUGCGGACAGAACGUGAGGUGUGCUCGUGAAAAUGCUGCCCUGUGGUGGAGAAACGGAGGUAUAAACAUCAGUAUAGCAGAAGAGCAUGUCAAGAGGAAAUGUUAAACCUGAGAGCAUCUGUGUUUUCCUUUGGGACUUUUGUACCACAUGAAAUCUGAAGUCAACAUCUUUUAUGUCCCAAGUGUAUAUAGCAUCUAAACAUUUUUAUGUUAUAGUUACUUUGCUUUGUAUGAUUUGAGAAACUCAUUCCUUAACUUCUGUGUACUGUGAUAGUAUAUAAUAAAGUUGUUACUAACUGGUGUGAUGCAA
Molecule: RNA transcript, 1692 nt
Organism: Pristis pectinata (smalltooth sawfish)
Lineage: Eukaryota; Metazoa; Chordata; Chondrichthyes; Rhinopristiformes; Pristidae
Gene: hnrnpdl
Gene name: heterogeneous nuclear ribonucleoprotein D-like
Exons: 10
Source: RefSeq, a predicted model, not a curated record